GCGUCUGAUCAUACUAGCACUAAUGCAGCGGAUCCCAUAAGAACACCGCAGUUAAACGUGCUUAGGCGAGAGUAGUACUAGGAUGGGUGAGCUCCUAGGAAGUGCUCGUUGUGUCACCCC
RNAcentral lists this ribosomal RNA (120 nucleotides) under Beta vulgaris subsp. vulgaris (sugar beet). Lineage: Eukaryota; Viridiplantae; Streptophyta; Magnoliopsida; Caryophyllales; Amaranthaceae. The record is from RNAcentral.